Molecule: non-coding RNA, 133 nt
Organism: Triticum aestivum (bread wheat)
Lineage: Eukaryota; Viridiplantae; Streptophyta; Magnoliopsida; Poales; Poaceae
Source: Rfam
AUACUCCCUCCGUCCGGAAAUAUUUAUCAUCAAAAUUAAUAAAAAAGGAUAUAUCUAGACGUAUUUUAUUUCUAGAUACAUCCCUUUCUAUUCAUUUUGUUGACAAGUAUUUUCGGACGGACUCCAGGAUCAA